This 397-nucleotide transfer-messenger RNA is filed under the name Paludibacteraceae bacterium. It matches the Rfam family "transfer-messenger RNA". From Rfam's summary of the family: Bacterial tmRNA, also known as 10Sa RNA or SsrA, is named for its dual tRNA and mRNA-like properties. The record is from RNAcentral. Lineage: Bacteria; Pseudomonadati; Bacteroidota; Bacteroidia; Bacteroidales; Paludibacteraceae.
GGGGAUGACUGGAUUUGACAGCGGGUAGAGAUUAUUUGUAAGCAUGCAGUGCGCUGGUGGCUAGCACUAUAAUCUUUGGAGACCAAAAAUUUAACUGGCGAAAAUAAUAUGGCUCUUGCUGCUUAAUCGAAGUAUAGUAGAUUAGCUUUAUCCUGGCACAAGGUGUUAGGACGAGACUUCUUCCGGAUGCCCUUCCUUGAGGCGGUCCGAUCCGAAGGAGCAGGUAAUUCAAGGAUAGUUUUUGUACGCCUCGUUGCAGAAAUGAAAUUUUAGAGGAUAAGGUAGUAGUUGGUGGUCUUGGUCUUGCUAUUGCACGAAAAUUUAGUCAAGAAUAAGCAUGUAGAAAGCAUUUAGUGUCCUCGUUUGGACCAGGGUUCGACUCCCUGCAUCUCCACAG